UACCAUCUCUUGCCAUCUCCAAGCAUUUGAUCCAAAGCAUCAACUUUUUCCUUGUCCAUGUGGACUAUAUAUGUCAUUGAUUUCGUUGCCUCUAACUCGAGGAUCAUUGAUAAUAUCGCCAUGGUAAUCAGCAACAAAGAAGAUUUCUUUUUCAGCGUAAACAUUUUUGUUUACUCCUGGUUUACUGCAGCAAGAUAAGGAAGAAAAAUUACUCUGUAAUUAAUAUAUGUUAUAUACAAUUUAUAAGUGACAAGAUCUAAGGCUCGGAAAACUUUAAAGCCGGAUAUAUGGAAUCCAGCGGAGACCGUCUGGACUUCAACCAGCUUUAGUAGAAUCAACUCCUAAAGUUUGCACCAAAGAAAACAGAAAACAAUCAGGAAAACUAUUAUCGGAAGUUGGAGCAAUGUGCAGAAGCUCCGUUCUCCAUGCUUUGCUCCUGCAUUCCCCCUGGGUCUGACCGUUCAUGUUUUCGUGUCUGAUUGAUCUUUGGUGCUGGUUUUUUCCUCUCUGUACCACAUGGAUUGUUUGUCCAUGUUCUAUGCUUGUACUUGUAACUGAUCCAAUCAAAUAAUUAGUAUUUAUGAGAAUUCAAUGAAGUAUUUUGUUUUCUUUUUAA
Molecule: long non-coding RNA, 616 nt
Organism: Papaver somniferum (opium poppy)
Lineage: Eukaryota; Viridiplantae; Streptophyta; Magnoliopsida; Ranunculales; Papaveraceae
Exons: 3
Source: RefSeq, a predicted model, not a curated record